AAUUGGAAAGCGAAAUAAUCGCAUUUAGUUUCGACCUAAACUUUGGUAAAAUUACCUUCAAUUU
This 64-nucleotide transfer RNA is filed under the name Typhlatya taina. Its description in RNAcentral is "tRNA-Arg". The record is from RNAcentral. Lineage: Eukaryota; Metazoa; Arthropoda; Malacostraca; Decapoda; Atyidae.